This 378-nucleotide ribosomal RNA is filed under the name uncultured Glomeromycotina. RNAcentral describes it as "LSU rRNA". The record is from RNAcentral. Lineage: Eukaryota; Fungi; Glomeromycota.
UUGAAAGGGAAACGAUUGAAGUCAGUCGUACCGACGAGAAAUCAGCUCUUCGAGUGCGAACUUGUGGGCGUGCGUGAGUCUUUAACGGGCCUCGCUGUUUGCAAUUUUGUGCUUUUUGGGUGUACUUUUUCGUAUGGUAGGCCAACGUCAGUUUCGAUCACCGUAAAAUGAUCGGAGGAAUGUAGCUUCGAUCUCGUAUUGAAGUGUUAUAGCCUCUGGUAGAUGCGGUGACCGAAACUGAGGAUUGCAACGAAUACCCUUUUGGGCUAUCCGUCUGGCCUCUGAAAGUUGCUUAGGUGCCGAAAGCGUGCUUACGGCUAUUUAAGUUGACGGUCAACAGGUUAGAGCGUGGUUACAUUCGUUAAGGAUGUUGACGUA